UCUUAGUUGCCUUUGGUCUAUCCCUGUCC
This 29-nucleotide small RNA is filed under the name Bombyx mori (domestic silkworm). Its description in RNAcentral is "ovarian small RNA-30093". The record is from RNAcentral. Lineage: Eukaryota; Metazoa; Arthropoda; Insecta; Lepidoptera; Bombycidae.